GACGAACGCUGGCGGCGUGCUUAACACAUGCAAGUCGAACGGUGAUGCUCCAGCUUGCUGGAGUGGAUCAGUGGCGAACGGGUGAGUAACACGUGAGCAACCUGCCCCAGACUCUGGAAUAAGCUCUGGAAACGGCGUCUAAUACUGGAUACGAAACUGGCCCGCAUGGGCAUGGUUUGGAAAGUUUUUCUGUUUGGGAUGGGCUCGCGGCCUAUCAGCUUGUUGGUGAGGUAAUGGCUCACCAAGGCGACGACGGGUAGCCGGCCUGAGAGGGCGACCGGCCACACGGGGACUGAGACACGGACCAGACUCCUACGGGAGGCAGCAGUGGGGAAUAUUGCACAAUGGGCGAAAGCCUGAUGCAGAGACGCCGCGUGAGGGAUGACGGCCUUCGGGUUGUAAACCUCUUUAAGCAGGGAAGAAGCGAAAGUGACGGUACCUGCAGAAGAAGCACCGGCUAACUACGUG
RNAcentral lists this ribosomal RNA (468 nucleotides) under uncultured bacterium. RNAcentral describes it as "partial 16S ribosomal RNA". It matches the Rfam family "Bacterial small subunit ribosomal RNA", at positions 28 to 507 of the family's 1533-position model. The record is from RNAcentral.